Long non-coding RNA from Polypterus senegalus (gray bichir), 480 nucleotides. RefSeq lists it as uncharacterized. The transcript has 4 exons. The record is from RefSeq and is a predicted model, not a curated record. Lineage: Eukaryota; Metazoa; Chordata; Cladistia; Polypteriformes; Polypteridae.
UUUGAUUCCAUUGAUUAAAUAUCCAAAUGAAUCCAAGUGCCCUCUUUGUAAAAAGCACAGAGACUACAGCAUCCUGCUGCCUGCCUUCAGAGUCAUGAAGACCACCGUGUCAAGUAUGCAGGUUUCCAAAGGACCAUUUUGUGGUGUCUCUGUAUUUCAUCCUCGAGGCCCCCUUCAAUUUUAAUGAGCAUACUGUCCAUAGUGGUUUUGAAGUUCCAGAAACGCCUACCUUUCAAAAUCUAGAUAUUUUAAAUGUAUGUUUAUAAUGGUUUGCAUAAAUAUUUUUGUAACAUUAAACUCCUUUUAACAAUGUGACUCUGCUCAGUUCUCUUUAGAAUGACAUGCCAGUUUUGAGGAAGUGCUGGUGUAGAAUGUUACUUGAGAACUUCAGCACCAAGGGCACUGCGUUCUGCAGGUUUCAGGUCUUUUCUUUUAGAAGAAACGUCAGCCACCCUUCAACAUCCAGCACAGGGCACUGAU